AUCCCUGUCCCUCACUAGCUCUGGAAAGCAGUGGGGAGACCUGAAAAUAAGGAAAGACGGACUAGAUUGGCAGGGAAGAUCUGUGGGAGUGAAGAAGGGUCCUCAGGCUCUUGCUGCCUGAAAUCUGUUUAUUUGUCUCAAGGGUCGCCUCCUCUGGGAAGUGUUCCCUGACCUUGCUAGGGUCCCUCCUUGAAACCCCAUCCGAAAUCAUUGCUAAUCAUCUGUGUACUGCCUCUCCUCCAAGGAAGGGCCAUGGGCUUGGUUCUUCACUGAGUGCCAGGAGUGGCUCCUUGCUGAGGGCUGUUUGCACCCUACUGACUCCUGCUUACACCUGGAAGUGAUGAGAAAUCCAUAAAUGGCCCGUCUUGGACCAUCGAUGGGUGGCUUACAUCCUGGAAACACUUGAGAAAGCAAACAAGAUCUAACAGUGAGUGAAGUAAGAGCCGAGUAACCUUGCCACCACCCUUCUACGUAUGCAUCCGAGCUGCCCAAACUCCUUAGUGCACAGAACCACGGGUACACUUUCUCCUCAUUCCUGUUUCUGUUAGAAUUGAAAACCUUCAAUAUUAAAACAUGGACACAAAAAAGUUUGGAUGAUCACAGCCUAGAGGGGCUCACCUGGACUUGGGCCUGAUUUCACGUUUGGCAGAAUCCUCUCAGUGACCGUGGGCCUGCUUUGGGUCCCCAGGUCCCUCUGGUCUCUGCUUCUCAGACUUUGAGGAAGCCAGGCAGAAACAGUAGAAGAAGUCUCCAGUUCAAGGUCAUGAAGCACAUCUGCAGUUCCUCUGGCCAUUCUGGGGAAUGAGGCCGUCCCUCCCCUACCUCUGGGUUUUAUCUUCACAGCCCCUUCAUCAUCGCCUUCCUGGCCAGAGUGUGCAGGGUGGAUUGGCAGGCUCGGUCUGAGGUCAGCAUGGGGUGAAUGGCAGACAGCUUGGUGCCAAGGACUGUACCCACAUGACCUGGCCACCCUACCCCACAUGAAUGCCAACAGCGGAGAUGGUUUUUUUAUGAUAAAGAUGUACGGCUUCCAAUAAUCAGGACAAAGUCAUGUACGUUCCUCCACCGCACUGUUUGCAGGAUAAAGCUCAGUCCCUUUCUAGAGGCCUGUCGAGGCCCCUGCCUGCAUUUCCGUACUCCUCUAUUGCUCCCCAUCCCCCCACCCAGGAUCUAUGACCCCUGAGCAAGGCCCCUUGGCUGUUCUCCCCUGUCCUUCAGUAACGUGACCCAGUCUGUCCAGCUCAAAUGUCCCCCCUCCCAGAUAGAAUCGGGGGCGCCCUCCUCUGUGCCCCGAAACCCACUGUCUCCCUCUGCACUGCAUUCUUC
This 1323-nucleotide long non-coding RNA is filed under the name Zalophus californianus (California sea lion). RNAcentral describes it as "lncRNA (ENSZCAG00015010209.1)". Lineage: Eukaryota; Metazoa; Chordata; Mammalia; Carnivora; Otariidae. The record is from RNAcentral.